AACGAACGCUAGCGGCAUGCCUAACACAUGCAAGUCGAACGAGACCUUCGGGUCUAGUGGCGCACGGGUGCGUAACGCGUGGGAACCUUCCCUUAGGUUCGGAAUAACUCCCCGAAAGGGGUGCUAAUACCGGAUAAUGUCUUCGGACCAAGGAUUUAUCGCCUUUGGUUGGGCCCGCGUUGGAUUAGCUUGUUGGUAGGGUAAAAGCCUACCAAGGCGACGAUCCAUAGCUGGUCUGAGAGGAUGAUCAGCCACACUGGGACUGAGACACGGCCCAGACUCCUACGGGAAGGAGCAGUGGGGGAUAGUGGAAAAUGGGCGAAAGCAUGAUGCAGCAAGGCCGCGUGAGUGAUGAAGGCCGUAGGGUUGUAAAGCUCUUUUACCCGGGAUGAUAAUGACAGUACCGGGAGAAUAAGCUCCGGCUAACUCCGUG
Molecule: ribosomal RNA, 433 nt
Filed under: uncultured bacterium
Lineage: Bacteria
Description: partial 16S ribosomal RNA
Rfam family: Bacterial small subunit ribosomal RNA
Source: RNAcentral